CCUACGGGUGGCAGCAGUGGGGGAUAUUGCACAAUGGGGGGAACCCUGAUGCAGCGACGCCGCGUGGGUGAAGAAGCGCCUCGGCGCGUAAAGCCCUGUCAGCAGGGAAGAACAUGACGGUACCUGAAGAAGAAGCCCCGGCCAACUACGUGCCAGCAGCCGCGGUAAUACGUAGGGGGCCAGCGUUCUCUGGAUCUACUGGGUGGAAAGGGGGCGCAGACGGCGAUGCAAGCCAGGGGUGAAAGCCCGGGGCCGAACCCCGGGACUGCUCUUGGAACUGGGUGGCUGGAGUGCGGGAGAGGCAGGCGGAAUUCCAGGUGUAGCGGUGAAAUGCGUAGAUAUCAGGAGGAACACCGGUGGCGAAGGCGGCCUGCUGGACUGCAACUGACGUUGAGGCCCGAAAGCGUGGGGAGCAAACAGGAUUAGAUACCCGGGUAGUC
Molecule: ribosomal RNA, 440 nt
Filed under: uncultured bacterium
Lineage: Bacteria
Description: partial 16S ribosomal RNA
Rfam family: Bacterial small subunit ribosomal RNA
Source: RNAcentral